Danionella cerebrum is the source of this 73-nucleotide non-coding RNA. Lineage: Eukaryota; Metazoa; Chordata; Actinopteri; Cypriniformes; Danionidae. The record is from the annotation of a GenBank genome assembly.
AUAUACAUGGCUCAGUUGGUAGAGCAAUGCACUAAUUACGCAAAGGUUGUGGGUUCAAAUCCCAGGGAAAGCA